Molecule: ribosomal RNA, 506 nt
Filed under: uncultured bacterium
Lineage: Bacteria
Description: partial 16S ribosomal RNA
Rfam family: Bacterial small subunit ribosomal RNA
Source: RNAcentral
AGUGAACGCUGGCGGUAGGCCUAACACAUGCAAGUCGAACGGCAGCACAGGAGAGCUUGCUCUCUGGGUGGCGAGUGGCGGACGGGUGAGGAAUACAUCGGAAUCUACUUUUUCGUGGGGGAUAACGUAGGGAAACUUACGCUAAUACCGCAUACGACCUACGGGUGAAAGCAGGGGACGUUCGGGCCUUGCGCGAUUGAAUGAGCCGAUGUCGGAUUAGCUAGUUGGCGGGGUAAAGGCCCACCAAGGCGACGAUCCGUAGCUGGUCUGAGAGGAUGAUCAGCCACACUGGAACUGAGACACGGUCCAGACUCCUACGGGAGGCAGUAGUGGGGAAUAUUGGACAAUGGGCGCAAGCCUGAUCCAGCCAUACCGCGUGGGUGAAGAAGGCCUUCGGGUUGUAAAGCCCUUUUGUUGGGAAAGAAAUCCAGCUGGCUAAUACCCGGUUGGGAUGACGGUACCCAAAGAAUAAGCACCGGCUAACUUCGUGCCAGCCGCCGCAGUAA